RNAcentral lists this ribosomal RNA (133 nucleotides) under uncultured bacterium. RNAcentral describes it as "partial 16S ribosomal RNA". The record is from RNAcentral.
UACGUAGUUGGCCGGGCCUUCUUCUGGAGGUACCGUCAUUUUCGUCCCUCCUGAAAGCGGUUUACAACCCGAAGGCCUUCAUCCCGCACGCGGUGUCGCUGCAUCAGGCUUUCGCCCAUUGUGCAAUAUUCCC